Molecule: ribosomal RNA, 775 nt
Filed under: uncultured Neocallimastigales
Lineage: Eukaryota; Fungi; Neocallimastigomycota; Neocallimastigomycetes; Neocallimastigales
Description: partial large subunit ribosomal RNA
Rfam family: Eukaryotic large subunit ribosomal RNA
Source: RNAcentral
CGCAUCUGUGCAUGCAGCAUAUCAAUAAGCGGAGGAAAAGAAACUAACAAGGAUUCCCUUAGUAACGGCGAGUGAAGCGGGAAGAGCUCAAAUUUGAAAUCUUCAAAGUUUUACCUUGACGAAUUGUAGUUUAAAGAAGUGUUUUCUGUUGAAGUUUUGGUAAAAGUUCUUUGGAAUAGGACGUCAUAGAGGGUGAGAAUCCCGUAUUUGACCAUUAUUUUCAGCUGUGUGAUACACUUUCAAAGAGUCGGAUUGUUUGGGAAUGCAGUCCAAAAUGGGUGGUAAAUUUCAUCUAAAGCUAAAUAUUGGCGAGAGACCGAUAGCGAACAAGUACCGUGAGGGAAAGAUGAAAAGAACUUUGAAAAGAGAGUUAAACAGUACGUGAAAUUGUCAAAAGGGAAGCGUUUGACACCAGUGUUGUUUUCUCGAAAAUCAAUUAAAAAGAGUUGGAUUUUGUUGUGUAUUGACCUUAACAGCUUGCAUUUCAAUUUUCAUUGCUUUUUUUAAUGCACUUUUCGUUUAACAAGUCAACAUCAGUUUCUUUUGUUGUAAAAAGGUCAUUGGAAGGUGGCUUUCUUUUCGGAGAAAGUGUUUAUAGCCUUUGACUCCUGCAAUCGGAGAGACUGAGGUCUGCAGCGUAGAUCCUUCGGGGUUAGAUACAUUUGUGCUAAGUUAUAGCUUUUUAUAGACAACUUGUUGACUAUGAUUAGUCUUGUAGCUUACUCGCUUAUGCUAUUUUACCUACGCUUAGGAUGUUGACGCGCGUGUGUGCGUG